This 893-nucleotide ribosomal RNA is filed under the name Frigoribacterium sp. RNAcentral's name for it is "bacterial SSU rRNA". It matches the Rfam family "Bacterial small subunit ribosomal RNA", at positions 56 to 961 of the family's 1533-position model. The record is from RNAcentral. Lineage: Bacteria; Bacillati; Actinomycetota; Actinomycetes; Micrococcales; Microbacteriaceae.
UGCAGUCGACGAUGAGCUCCAGCUUGCUGGGGGGAUUAGUGGCGAACGGGUGAGUAACACGUGAGUAACCUGCCCUUGACUCUGGGAUAAGCGCUGGAAACGGCGUCUAAUACCGGAUACGAGCUUCAGCCGCAUGGCUAGGAGUUGGAAAGAAUUUUGGUCAAGGAUGGACUCGCGGCCUAUCAGCUAGUUGGUGAGGUAAUGGCUCACCAAGGCGACGACGGGUAGCCGGCCUGAGAGGGUGACCGGCCACACUGGGACUGAGACACGGCCCAGACUCCUACGGGAGGCAGCAGUGGGGAAUAUUGCACAAUGGGCGCAAGCCUGAUGCAGCAACGCCGCGUGAGGGAUGACGGCCUUCGGGUUGUAAACCUCUUUUAGUAGGGAAGAAGCGAAAGUGACGGUACCUGCAGAAAAAGCACCGGCUAACUACGUGCCAGCAGCCGCGGUAAUACGUAGGGUGCAAGCGUUGUCCGGAAUUAUUGGGCGUAAAGAGCUCGUAGGCGGUUUGUCGCGUCUGCUGUGAAAUCUGGGGGCUCAACCCCCAGCCUGCAGUGGGUACGGGCAGACUAGAGUGCGGUAGGGGAGAUUGGAAUUCCUGGUGUAGCGGUGGAAUGCGCAGAUAUCAGGAGGAACACCGAUGGCGAAGGCAGAUCUCUGGGCCGUAACUGACGCUGAGGAGCGAAAGCGUGGGGAGCGAACAGGAUUAGAUACCCUGGUAGUCCACGCCGUAAACGUUGGGAACUAGAUGUGGGGACCAUUCCACGGUCUCCGUGUCGCAGCUAACGCAUUAAGUUCCCCGCCUGGGGAGUACGGCCGCAAGGCUAAAACUCAAAGGAAUUGACGGGGGGCCCGCACAAGCGGCGGAGCAUGCGGAUUAAUUCGAUGCAACG